This 430-nucleotide ribosomal RNA is filed under the name Pseudomonadota bacterium. RNAcentral describes it as "Proteobacteria bacterium partial 16S ribosomal RNA". It matches the Rfam family "Bacterial small subunit ribosomal RNA", at positions 355 to 776 of the family's 1533-position model. The record is from RNAcentral. Lineage: Bacteria; Pseudomonadati; Pseudomonadota.
UGGGGAAUAUUGGACAAUGGGGGGAACCCUGAUCCAGCCAUGCCGCGUGUGUGAAGAAGGCCUUAUGGUUGUAAAGCACUUUAAGCGAGGAGGAGGGUACUGGUAUUAAUACUACCAGGUACUGGACGUUACUCGCAGAAUAAGCACCGGCUAACUCUGUGCCAGCAGCCGCGGUAAUACAGAGGGUGCGAGCGUUAAUCGGAUUUACUGGGCGUAAAGCGUGCGUAGGCGGCUAAUUGAGUCGGAUGUGAAAUCCCUGAGCUUAACUUAGGAAUUGCAUUCGAUACUGGUUAGCUAGAGUGUGGGAGAGGAUGGUAGAAUUCCAGGUGUAGCGGUGAAAUGCGUAGAGAUCUGGAGGAAUACCGAUGGCGAAGGCAGCCAUCUGGCCUAACACUGACGCUGAGGUACGAAAGCAUGGGGAGCAAACAGG